GCCGAUGUAGCUCAGUGGUAGAGCGCGUCCUUGGUAAGGACGAGGUCACCGGUUCAAGCCCGGUCAUCGGCUCCA
Molecule: transfer RNA, 75 nt
Filed under: Acidobacteriota bacterium
Lineage: Bacteria; Pseudomonadati; Acidobacteriota
Also listed under: 1 other name
Description: Acidobacteria bacterium (sponge metagenome) tRNA-Thr
Rfam family: tRNA
About the family: Transfer RNA (tRNA) molecules are approximately 80 nucleotides in length. Their secondary structure includes four short double-helical elements and three loops (D, anti-codon, and T loops).
Source: RNAcentral